CGACCUCAGAUCAGGCGGGACUACCCGCCGGAUUUCAGCAUAUUAAUAAGCGGAAGAAAAGAAAACAACCGUGAUUCCCUUAGUAGCGGCGAGCGAACCGGGAAAAGCCCAUCGCCGAAUCUCGCCGCGCACUUUUGUGUCGCGGCACGAAUGAGAGUUGUGGCGUACGGGCCGGCCUCGUUGCCGGGGCGCACGUGACGGUCCAAGUCUCCCUUGAACGGGGCCAUGGCCUGCAGAUGGUGCCAGGUCAGUAGAGGCCGUCACAGCGUUCCGGGAUCGGACCGCGCCUUCGAGUCGGGUUGCUUGAGAGUGCAGCCCGAAGCGGGUGGUAAACUCCAUCUAAGGCUAAAUACGGCCACGAGACCGAUAGUUUACAAGUACCGUGAGGGAAAGUUGAAAAGAACUUUGAAGAGAGAGUUCAUAAGAACGUGAAACCGCUCGGUUGUAAACGGACAGAGCUCGCGAAUCCCCGCCGGGCGAAUUCACGGUCGGUCUAACCGCCGGCCGGAUCUUUCGCUCGGUUAGCGGACGUCGCGACCCGUUGGGCGCCGGCCGAAUGGCCCGGGUGACGUUCGUCGCGUCGGUCGCGUUUCGGCGUGACCGUUCGCGCCGAGCCCCGGUGCUCAUGGUCGGCUCGCCCGACGGCAAGAACCGUCGACGCGGCCCCGUCGCAGGCGGGGUCCCGUCGGUCGGCGACGUGUUUCGAGCUACUUUCCGACCCGUCUUGAAACACGGACCAAGGAGUCUAACGUGUGCGCGAGUCAACGGUGAUCUUACGAAAAACCACGUUUGGCGCAAUGAAAGUGAACCGUUUACGGUGCGGACGAUGGCCUAGCGACCGAACCCACCGGCGUUCAAAGUCGCGCUGGUCCGCAGUCCGGGGGCGUCUCCGCCAAGUCGGCUUCGGCCGGCUGGGGGCGCACCCUUAGCGCACACGUUGGUACCCGAAAGAUGGUGAACUAUGCCUGGCCAGGAUGAAGUCAGGGGAAACCCUGAUGGAGGUCCGCAGCGAUUCUGACGUGCAAAUCGAUCGUCUGAGCUGGGUAUAUGGGGCGAAAGACUAAUCGAACCAUCUAGUAGCUGGUUCCAUCCGAAGUUUCCCUCAGGAUAGCUGGCGCCGAUGUGUCCCGCCCGUUCGCGGGCGUACGGACGCCGGUGGGACUCCGCGCUGUACGGCGCGGUAACAACACGCUCGUAACACGGAGGAUGUCUCAUACGGUAAAGCGAAUGAUUAGAGGACAUUGGGGCCGAAACGACCUCAACCUAUUCUCAAACUAUAAAUGAGUGAGAUCGCCGGCUUUACCUGGUACACCGCGUGAACCGCGUGCGAAGCCGGCGACGGAACCCUAGGCGCUUAGUGGGCCAUUUUUGGUAAGCAGAACUGGCGCUGCGGGAUGAACCGAACGCCGAGUUAAGGCGCCGAAAUCGACGCGUAUUCAGAGACCAUGAAAGGCGUUGGUUGCUGAUGACAGCAGGACGGUGGCCAUGGAAGUCGGAAUCCGCUAAGGAGUGUGUAACAACUCACCUGCCGAAGCAACUAGCUCUGAAAAUGGAUGGCGCUGGAGCGUCGUGCCUAUACUCGGCCGUCGACGGCAUAGUGGGGCCAGUCGUCGCUCGCGGCGGCCGGUCCCGGCAAGCCUCGACGAGUAGGAUGGCGCGGCGGUGUGCGUCGAAGGCAUGUCGCGAGACCGCCUGAGCCGCCGUCGGUGCAGAUCUUGGUGGUAGUAGCAAAUACUCGAGAGGGGCCCUCGGGGGCUGCCGUGGAGAAGGGUUUCUUGUG
Molecule: non-coding RNA, 1780 nt
Organism: Acyrthosiphon pisum (pea aphid)
Lineage: Eukaryota; Metazoa; Arthropoda; Insecta; Hemiptera; Aphididae
Source: Rfam